GAUGAACGCUAGCGGGAGGCCUAACACAUGCAAGCCGAGCGGUAGAAUCUUUUCGGAGAUUUGAGAGCGGCGUACGGGUGAGGAACACGUGUGCAACCUGCCUUUAUCUGGGAGAUAGCCUUUCGAAAGGAAGAUUAAUAUCCCAUAAUAUAUUGAGUGGCAUCACUUAAUAUUGAAAGCUCCGGCGGAUAGAGAUGGGCACGCGCAAGAUUAGAUAGUUGGUGAGGCAACGGCUCACCAAGUCUACGAUCUUUAGGGGGCCUGAGAGGGCGAACCCCCACACUGGUACUUAGACACGGACAAGACUCCUACGGGAGGCAGCAGUGAGGAAUAUUGGACAAUGGGUGCAAGCCUGAUCCAGCCAUCCCGCGUGAAGGAUUAAGGUCCUAUGGAUUGUAAACUUCUUUUAUACAGGGAUAAACCUCUCCUCGUGAGGAGAGCUGAAGGUACUGUAUGAAUAAGCACCGGCUAACUCCGUGCCAGCCGCCGCAGUAA
RNAcentral lists this ribosomal RNA (495 nucleotides) under uncultured bacterium. RNAcentral's name for it is "partial 16S ribosomal RNA". It matches the Rfam family "Bacterial small subunit ribosomal RNA", at positions 28 to 523 of the family's 1533-position model. The record is from RNAcentral.